UAAUGCGUUAGCUGCAGCACUAAGGGGCGGAAACCCCCUAACACUUAGCACUCAUCGUUUACGGCGUGGACUACCAGGGUAUCUAAUCCUGUUUGAUCCCCACGCUUUCGCACAUCAGCGUCAGUUACAGACCAGAAAGUCGCCUUCGCCACUGGUGUUCCUCCAUAUCUCUGCGCAUUUCACCGCUACACAUGGAAUUCCACUUUCCUCUUCUGCACUCAAGUUUUCCAGUUUCCAAUGACCCUCCACGGUUGAGCCGUGGGCUUUCACAUCAGACUUAAAAAACCGCCUACGCGCGCUUUACGCCCAAUAAUUCCGGAUAACGCUUGCCACCUACGUAUUACCGCGGCUGCUGGCACGUAGUUAGCCGUGGCUUUCUGAUUAGGUACCGUCAAGACGUGCAUAGUUACUUACACAUUUGUUCUUCCCUAAUAACAGAGUUUUACGAUCCGAAGACCUUCAUCACUCACGCGGCGUUGCUCCGUCAGGCUUUCGCCCAUUGCGGAAGAUUCCCUACUGCUGCCUCCCGUAG
This 532-nucleotide ribosomal RNA is filed under the name Staphylococcus epidermidis. Its description in RNAcentral is "partial 16S ribosomal RNA". The record is from RNAcentral. Lineage: Bacteria; Bacillati; Bacillota; Bacilli; Caryophanales; Staphylococcaceae.